CGUGGGGGGAGGAAGCUGUCCUUGGGAUGAUUGCUCUUGCCCUCCCCUUGGUCACUGGGGAGGGAAGGGGCGGAUGGGGAAGGAGGUACUCUUCCAUCGUCCCGGCAGAAAGGCUGGGGCCCGCAAUCGCGCUGAAGUGCCAAAGAGGGGUCGGCCAGCUGGGAUUCUCUAUGGUGGGAGGAGGGGUAGACUGUAUUUUUGUGGCCAGCAUCACUUUUCAUCCUCAUUCGUCCACCUUCUUUGAUGAGUUCAUUUUACUCCCCUUUACGACCUGUGACGGACUCAGAGACGAACCGGCCCCAGGCUGCCCAGGGAGGAUUUGAACCCAUGUCCCGCCUUCAAGGCAGUCCCUGUCUGGAUAACCCGUAGAGCUCAGUCUCCUGGACUCGGCCAGGGGAGCAGAAAGGAGGCUGCUCGGAUGAGUCGUCAUCCAGAGCCCUCCUCCAGGAUCAGGGCCAAAGCGGGCACCUCCUUCCAGCCCAUCGUGGUCUUCUUGUCUUCCCAGGCCAACCUCUCCAAGGAGGGCAAAAGCCACAUCUCCUGCUCGCGGUGGGCUCCUGUCCUGGGAGGAGGGGGGGGGCGAUGCUUUCUUUGCUGACCCUUGCCUCCCCCCCAAUCCUUCUGCUCCCACUGCCCACCUUGAUUGCCACCGACGUGAGGGUGGGGCAUUUGCACACAGCUUGGAGUGGGGAGCACACACACCCCCACCUCCCCCUCGGUGGUGCUGGAGGGCAAGCCGCCUCCCGCCUCCCACUGAACUCCUGCUCCUCUCUGCAGGUCGUCCCUGGGCUUGAGCGUCAUCUCGGCUGCCGGUUGCGUCUUUGGGGCCUACCUGAUGGUGCUGGCAGCCCUCAGCCCCUGCCCGCCACUGGUGGGCUCGUCCCUCGGCGUCGCUCUGGUGGUCGUCUCCUGGAUCCUGUUCAUGGGCCUCUUCUCAUACCUGAAAGUGGUGAUCGGAAGCUUGCUGCACGAGGCCGGCCACAGCGCCCUGGUCUGGUGUGGGGCCGUCAUCCAGGCGGGCUCCUUGGUGGGGGCCCUGUCCAUGUUCCCCCUCACCAGCAUCUACCACCUCUUCCAGAGCGGCAGGGACUGCGUGGACAACUGCCCGGCGUGAGCUGGAAGAAUGCCCGCUGGGCCUGACCCCUGGGGACCGGGACCGGCUUUCCAAAGGUCUCUCGGCCCCUCUCCAGGUGCAGCUGCAGCCGACCCUGGUAGCCCUUGAGCCGGCCUUCUUCGCCUGCCUGCCUGCCUGGGGGAUCUCCCGGACUCUCUUCUAGCUCUGAGGGGGACCGGCUGCCUCCUCUGGACCCGGCACCGAUGUGGCUGCUCUCUCCUAGCUCCGAGGGGGACCGGCUGCCUCCCCUGGACCCGGCACCGAUGUGGCCGAGGAGCGCUGCCCUGCUGCUCCUGCUGUGCCCCGGCUGUGCUUCUCGGACAGGACAGGCCGCGAGGGGCUGCCUGCCUUCCUCCCCCCCCCCUUUAGGCAAUCUUCCUCCUGCUGUCUUAGGCUUGGAUUGCAUUUGGCGGGCCCUUUUCCCAGGGAGCCAAGGCCCUUCGGUCACUUGUGGCCCUAAAGGUGUCCCCCCCCAAGGGCUGAGCAAGCAGGGGAUGGCUAGAGCCCCAGACAGGUUGCCUACGGCAGCCCUUGCAGGCCCACGGCUGCCGUCUCUCCCAGGAAGGUGGGUGGGUGGGUGCUGCCUUGUUUAGUGACUCUGCCUUUUCUUCCACUCCAGAAGCUCUCUCUCUAGCCGCUGCAGCACAAGCGUGGGAUGCUCCCAACUGGGGGAGGUGAAGGGAGUGGGGGGGCUUUGUUGCCAGAUUCAGGGGGUCGGGUGCUGCUUCCACCCCACCGAUUUCUCCCCCAACCACCACCACCUAUGUGCCUUCAUGCAGCGGAGUGUUCUUCUCUUCACUCUGGGACCAACUCUUCUCCAGCCGCCCCUCCAGGCCCUUUGAAUAGCUGGAAGUUCAGCUGGGUGGAGAGCUGGCAUCCAAGGAGAUCCUUGGCGGGGGGGGGGGGGCCGGGNNNNNNNNNNNNNNNNNNNNNNNNNGGGAUUUCCAGCAACUGCAGAGCAAGCCACAGAGCUGGGACUGGAGGGGCCAGAAGGAAAUAAAUUUUUCUAUUUUGGACUUUGUAUCCUCUAU
Molecule: long non-coding RNA, 2145 nt
Filed under: Pogona vitticeps (central bearded dragon)
Lineage: Eukaryota; Metazoa; Chordata; Lepidosauria; Squamata; Agamidae
Description: lncRNA (ENSPVIG00000000248.1)
Source: RNAcentral